UACGGGGGGGGCAAGCGUUGUUCGGAAUUACUGGGCGUAAAGGGUUUGUAGGUGGCUUGUUAAGUCAGACGUGAAAUCCCUCAGCUUAACUGGGGAACUGCGUCUGAUACUGGCGAGCUUGAGUGCAGGAGAGGAACGCGGAAUUCCAGGUGUAGCGGUGAAAUGCGUAGAUAUCGAGAGGAACACCAGUGGCGAAGGCGAGUCCCUGGACAACACCUGACACUGAGGCACGAAAGCCGGGGGAGCAAACAGG
This 253-nucleotide ribosomal RNA is filed under the name uncultured bacterium. RNAcentral describes it as "partial 16S ribosomal RNA". It matches the Rfam family "Bacterial small subunit ribosomal RNA", at positions 524 to 776 of the family's 1533-position model. The record is from RNAcentral.